GAAUAUUGGACAAUGGGCGAAAGCCUGAUCCAGCAAUGCCGCGUGUGUGAAGAAGGCCUUCGGGUUGUAAAGCACUUUAAGCAGGGAAGAAAAAGCACGACCUAACACGUCGAGCCUUGACGGUACCUGCAGAAUAAGCACCGGCUAACUCUGUGCCAGCAGCCGCGGUAAUACAGAGGGUGCAAGCGUUAAUCGGAUUUACUGGGCGUAAAGCGUGCGUAGGCGGUUCAGUAUGUCGGUCGUGAAAUCCCCGGGCUUAACCUGGGAACUGCGGCCGAAACUGCUGGGCUAGAGUGUGGUAGAGGGCGGUGGAAUUCCGGGUGUAGCGGUGAAAUGCGUAGAGAUCCGGAGGAACAUCAAUGGCGAAGGCAGCCGCCUGGGCCACAACUGACGCUGAGGUACGAAAGCGUGGGGAGCAAACAGG
RNAcentral lists this ribosomal RNA (424 nucleotides) under uncultured bacterium. RNAcentral's name for it is "bacterial SSU rRNA". It matches the Rfam family "Bacterial small subunit ribosomal RNA", at positions 359 to 776 of the family's 1533-position model. The record is from RNAcentral.